Molecule: long non-coding RNA, 639 nt
Filed under: Prunus persica (peach)
Lineage: Eukaryota; Viridiplantae; Streptophyta; Magnoliopsida; Rosales; Rosaceae
Description: long non-coding RNA (PPER_LNC000246)
Source: RNAcentral
CUGCAACAAAAUCAUGGCGUCUACGGUGGAUUGCAGUACUUGCGUAAAAAACACAACGAAAACCAAAGAGAAAAGCUGGGUCGACGACACCAUACCGCAACCAUCCCAAUGAUAGCGAGACACAUCCAAGCACAACAAAAGUCAACAAGGACCUACAACAGAAAACACACAAACAAACAAACAAAAGACAAGAUCCAGAUAGAUCUGGGCAAAAGGAUCCAAAAUUUAGACAAAUCUGAGGAGAGAAUAGGAGAGGAGAAGAAAACUAGAAAAUAAAAAAAGGAGGUGAGGAGAGAAAGAUGGAAGAUGGGGAAGCCACCCACCCCUACAGAGGCAAAGAAGUGGGUGUGUGGUGGUGUGUGGCGGCUGCAAAUCUUCAGAGAAAGUUUAGAGUUUUGAGAGAACCAAUAAUUAAAUUGGAUGGACUUGGCAACAAUAUUGACUUUCUAGAACCAAUAAUUAGAAAGUACCAAUCAAAUCCUUUGACUUUGCACAUCAAAGACAUAAAUAAAUGAGCUAUUUAGCUUUCAAGUUAUAAAGAAGCACAACUACAUGUACGUUUUUUACCCCGUGAAGUCAAGAAGUCAAUUAUUUUACCAAUAUUGAUGAAACUAAAAUAAUAUAAUUGCAAGAGGCUUC